CGUCCGGUUAUUAUGGAACAUGUUAAUGCCAAAAUUAAGAUUUUUGAAAGAUCUAAACUCUGGGAUAGACCUUGGUGGAUGAACACUAGCACUGGGAGGUUCUCUGUGAAGAGUACAAGGGAAAUAUUGAGGCAUAAGAGGAGGAAAGAUAAACUCAUUGUUAAAAUCUAGAUGUUGGGACUACCUUUUAAUAUUUAUUUUUUAUUGUG
RNAcentral lists this long non-coding RNA (209 nucleotides) under Capsicum annuum. Its description in RNAcentral is "long non-coding RNA (CANN_LNC008034)". Lineage: Eukaryota; Viridiplantae; Streptophyta; Magnoliopsida; Solanales; Solanaceae. The record is from RNAcentral.